GAUGAAGAACGUAGCGAAAUGCGAUAAGUAAUGUGAAUUGCAGAAUUCAGUGAAUCAUCGAAUCUUUGAACGCACCUUGCACCCUUUGGCAUUCCGAAGGGUAUGCUCGUUUGAGUGUCAUUGUACUCUCACUCUCCCGAUGCUUUUGGAUCGGGAGUGGUGGACUUGGGUGUUGCUGCUUUGCUGUGGCUCGCCUCAAAUGGAGUAGUGCAACUCUUGGUUGGACAUAGUACGGCGUGAUAAGUGUCUUCGCCGGCGCCUCAUUAUAGAGGGUGGCCGAUCGGGAGCUCUGUGCUUCAAACCGUCUUCGGACAACAUCUGACAACUUUACCUCAAAUCGAGUAGGACUACCCGCUGAACUUAAGCAUAUCAAUAAGCGGAGGA
This 384-nucleotide unclassified non-coding RNA is filed under the name soil metagenome. RNAcentral's name for it is "partial contains 5.8S ribosomal RNA, internal transcribed spacer 2, and large subunit ribosomal RNA". The stretch from base 1 to 120 matches the Rfam family "5.8S ribosomal RNA", at positions 35 to 154 of the family's 154-position model. The record is from RNAcentral.